AGUGAACGCUGGCGGCAGGCCUAACACAUGCAAGUCGAACGGCAGAACAGUAAUAGCUCGUUCUUACGGGUGGCGACUGGUGGUCGGUUGCUAAAUACCUCGGUAUUUACUUUUUCGUGGGUUAUAACGUAGGGGAACUUACGCUAUUACUGCUUACGACGUACGUGUGAAAGCAGGGUAUCUUCCGCUCUCGCCUGAUUGUAUGUGCGGUUGUCGGAUUAGCUAGUUAGAGGGGUAAAGGCCCACCAAGCCGACGAUCCGCAGCUGGUCUGAUAGGUCGAUCAGACACACUGGAACUGAGACACGGUCCAGACUCCUAAGGGAGGCAGCAGUGGGGAAUAUUGGACAAUGGGCGCAAGCCUGAUCCAGCCAGAACGCGUGGGUGAAGAAGGCCUUCGGGUUGUAAAGAACUUUUAGUGGGAAAGAAAAGCAGCAAGUUAAUACCCCGCUGUGUUGACGGUACCAAAAGAAUAAGCACCGGCUAAAUUCGUG
This 492-nucleotide ribosomal RNA is filed under the name uncultured bacterium. Its description in RNAcentral is "partial 16S ribosomal RNA". It matches the Rfam family "Bacterial small subunit ribosomal RNA", at positions 29 to 507 of the family's 1533-position model. The record is from RNAcentral.